RNAcentral lists this ribosomal RNA (487 nucleotides) under uncultured bacterium. RNAcentral's name for it is "partial 16S ribosomal RNA". It matches the Rfam family "Bacterial small subunit ribosomal RNA", at positions 28 to 507 of the family's 1533-position model. The record is from RNAcentral.
GACGAACGCUGGCGGCGUGCUUAACACAUGCAAGUCGAACGGGCUCUGUCUGGCUGUGUGCUGGGUGGGGGUAGUGGCGAACGGGUGAGUAAUACGUGAGUAACCUGCCCUCUUCUUUGGGAUAAGCCUUGGAAACGGGGGCUAAUACUGGAUAUUCCUGUCUGGUCGCAUGGCCGGGUGGGGAAAGAUUUUUUCGGUGGGGGAUGGGCUCGCGGCCUAUCAGCUUGUUGGUGGGGUGAUGGCCUACCAGGGCGGCGACGGGUAGCCGGCCGGAGAGGUUGUACGGGCACACUGGGGCUGAUAUGCGACACUGAGUCCGACGGGCGGCAGCGGUGGGGGCUAUUGGCAGCUGGGGGGAAGCCUGAAGCAGCGACGCCGCGUGGGGGCUGCCGGGUUUCGGGUUGUAAGCCUCUUUCGGCGGGGGAAAGGGCUCUGCUUGGUGGUGGGGUUGAGGGUACCCGGUGAAGAAGCGCCGGCUAACUACGUG